RNAcentral lists this long non-coding RNA (225 nucleotides) under Phasianus colchicus (ring-necked pheasant). RNAcentral's name for it is "lncRNA (ENSPCLG00000002545.1)". The record is from RNAcentral. Lineage: Eukaryota; Metazoa; Chordata; Aves; Galliformes; Phasianidae.
AGAAUACAGAGAGGAGCAAAGAGUAAUUAGACAGAAAAGGGCUGUUCACAGGCAAGCUGAAGCAGGAGAGAUGAAGCUUACAAAUUUCAUUUAAUUAUAGCCAGAUCACAAGAAGGCUUCUGGUAGGAAAAAGGCUUGUUGGGAGGACCAGGAACAUCCAUUUGGAUAUUUAUAUUUCCUCGAGGCUCUAACUGAACAAUAUAUUCAUGCUAUUUAAUUUUCACU